GUGGGGAAUAUUGGACAAUGGGGGGAACCCUGAUCCAGCCAUGCCGCGUGUGUGAAGAAGGCCUUUUGGUUGUAAAGCACUUUAAGCGAGGAGGAGGCUACCGAGAUUAAUACUCUUGGAUAGUGGACGUUACUCGCAGAAUAAGCACCGGCUAACUCUGUGCCAGCAGCCGCGGUAAUACAGAGGGUGCAAGCGUUAAUCGGAUUUACUGGGCGUAAAGCGCGCGUAGGUGGCCAAUUAAGUCAAAUGUGAAAUCCCCGAGCUUAACUUGGGAAUUGCAGUCGAUACUGGUUGGCUAGAGUAUGGGAGAGGAUGGUAGAAUUCCAGGUGUAGCGGUGAAAUGCGUAGAGAUCUGGAGGAAUACCGAUGGCGAAGGCAGCCAUCUGGCCUAAUACUGACACUGAGGUGCGAAAGCAUGGGGAGCAAACAGGAUUAGAAACCCCGGUAGUCC
This 451-nucleotide ribosomal RNA is filed under the name uncultured bacterium. RNAcentral describes it as "partial 16S ribosomal RNA". It matches the Rfam family "Bacterial small subunit ribosomal RNA", at positions 354 to 796 of the family's 1533-position model. The record is from RNAcentral.